GAUGAAGAACGUAGCGAAAUGCGAUAAGUAAUGUGAAUUGCAGAAUUCAGUGAAUCAUCGAAUCUUUGAACGCACAUUGCGCCCGCCAGUAUUCUGGCGGGCAUGCCUGUCUGAGCGUCAUUUCAACCCUCAUGCCCCUAGUGCGUGGUGUUGGGGAUCGGCCAAAGCCCGCGAGGGACGGCCGGCCCCUAAAUCUAGUGGCGGACCCGUCGUGGCCUCCUCUGCGAAGUAGUGAUAUUCCGCAUCGGAGAGCGAUGAGCCCCUGCCGUUAAACCCCCAACUUUCCAAGGUUGACCUCAGAUCAGGUAGGAAUACCCGCUGAACUUAAGCAUAUCAAUAAGCGGAGGA
This 348-nucleotide unclassified non-coding RNA is filed under the name soil metagenome. RNAcentral's name for it is "partial contains 5.8S ribosomal RNA, internal transcribed spacer 2, and large subunit ribosomal RNA". The stretch from base 1 to 120 matches the Rfam family "5.8S ribosomal RNA", at positions 35 to 154 of the family's 154-position model. The record is from RNAcentral.